This 210-nucleotide ribosomal RNA is filed under the name Pneumocystis sp. RNAcentral describes it as "partial large subunit ribosomal RNA". It matches the Rfam family "Bacterial large subunit ribosomal RNA", at positions 839 to 1035 of the family's 2925-position model. Lineage: Eukaryota; Fungi; Ascomycota; Pneumocystomycetes; Pneumocystales; Pneumocystaceae. The record is from RNAcentral.
CAGGAUAUAGCUGUUUUCUGCGAAAAUUGUUGUAGCAAUGGAUUUAUUGUAAUUAUUAUAGGUAGGUAUAGCACUGAAUACUUUUUUAUUCGGAGGGAGUAUGAGAGUACUUAUCUCAAGUAUUUAAUCUCAGAAUGACUUAUAAUGAAGAUAAGUUCUUAGACUUUUUGCGAUAAGGUAUAAAGUCGAAAGGGAAACAGCCCAGAACAA